RNAcentral lists this non-coding RNA (20 nucleotides) under Rattus norvegicus (Norway rat). Lineage: Eukaryota; Metazoa; Chordata; Mammalia; Rodentia; Muridae. The record is from RNAcentral.
CUAGGACUGCUUCUUGACUC